GAUGAACGCUGACAGCAUGCUUAACACAUGCAAGUCGAUGGGGAAGUGGUGCUUGCACCCUGGCAACCAUGGCGGACGGGUGAGUAACGCGUAAGGGACUUACCUGCAGGACUGGGAUAACAGGGGGAAACUCCUGACAAGACCGGAUAAUGUCAUGGAGCUGCAUGGCUUUAUGAUGAAAGGAGACGCCUGCGGAGAGCCUUGCGUCCUAUUAGCUAGUUGGUGAGGUAAUGGCUCACCAAGGCGAAGAUAGGUAGCCGGCCUGAGAGGGUGGACGGCCACAAGGGGACUGAGAUACGGCCCUUACUCCUACGGGAGGCAGCAGUGGGGAAUAUUGGACAAUGGGGGCAACCCUGAUCCAGCAAUUCUGUGUGCACGAAGAAGGUUUUCGGAUUGUAAAGUGCUUUCAGCAGGGAAGAAGUAAGUGACGGUACCUGCAGAAGGAGCGACGGCUAAAUACGUG
RNAcentral lists this ribosomal RNA (463 nucleotides) under uncultured bacterium. Its description in RNAcentral is "partial 16S ribosomal RNA". It matches the Rfam family "Bacterial small subunit ribosomal RNA", at positions 28 to 507 of the family's 1533-position model. The record is from RNAcentral.